GAGGAAUAUUGGUCAAUGGGCGAGAGCCUGAACCAGCCAAAUCGCGUGAAGGAAGACUGCCUUAUGGGUUGUAAACUUCUUUUAUACAGGAAUAAAAAAGGGGACGUGUCCCUUAUUGCAUGUACUGUAUGAAUAAGCAUCGGCUAACUCCGUGCCAGCAGCCGCGGUAAUACGGAGGAUGCGAGCGUUAUCCGGAUUUAUUGGGUUUAAAGGGUGCGCAGGCGGGCUUUUAAGUCAGCGGUGAAAUCUCGGGGCUUAACUCCGAAACUGCCGUUGAAACUGGGAGUCUUGAGUAUGGAUGAAGUAGGCGGAAUUCGUUGUGUAGCGGUGACAUGCUUAGAUAUAACGAGGAACUCCGAUUGCGUAGGCAGCUUACUAAGCCAUAACUGACGCUCAAGCACGAAAGCGUGGGGAUCAAAC
RNAcentral lists this ribosomal RNA (420 nucleotides) under uncultured bacterium. Its description in RNAcentral is "bacterial SSU rRNA". It matches the Rfam family "Bacterial small subunit ribosomal RNA", at positions 356 to 773 of the family's 1533-position model. The record is from RNAcentral.